Molecule: non-coding RNA, 921 nt
Organism: Kogia breviceps (pygmy sperm whale)
Lineage: Eukaryota; Metazoa; Chordata; Mammalia; Artiodactyla; Physeteridae
Source: RefSeq, a predicted model, not a curated record
UUCAGUUUGAAUUUCCGCAGUUUAGUGGGUUCGGCAGUUCUGCCAGCAGGGGGCGCUGUCUCCAGUGAACUGUGAGUCAGGUGCAGCCUGCACGUCCCGCACGGAUCAUAGACGGGACUGGGCCCGCCUCUCUGACCCACGGCGCACGCGCGUUCCACCGGUCUCGACUCAGCGCGCCGCUCACAGGCGUUCGUCUCAGGUGCCGCCAGAGCUUGUGCUGGGAUGGCCGGGUCGGCGUCUCUGCUGACAGGAGCUGAGGCUCCUUUAGACUCGCCGGGGCUUGGGCUUCAAGACAACACGGGGCUGUGUCCAUGAUGACAGGAGCUGGGUUUCCUGCCGACCCAGGAGACGCCAGGAGGAAAAGCUGGCCAGCAGGUGGCACCAAGCCCACCUCUGAUCCUUGAGGUGCAUGUGUGUUCCACUGGUGGACUUGGCUCAUGAAGGAACUUGGCUACUUGUUCCACUGAUAGAAGCCUGGUCUCUUCAGGAUCCGCCAUGGUUUCAGCUUUGGGACAACACUUGGCUGAGUCCAUGCAGACAGAAACCCAGUGUCUUCAGGAACCACCAGGAGGCAGCACCUUGGGAGUAAAAGGUUUCAGGAAAAUCGCUUUGCCUGGCCGGGGAAAGAAGAGGACCCCCAAAUCGUCCAGAGUCCUUAGGUCCUUGUAGCUGGUUGUAUAGAGAACUGGACACAUGCCAAAUGGGCAUUUGGCCUCCCUGCUCGAUCACCUGUAACCAAGCAGGGACAAGCCCUCUUUGAACAGCCUCCUUGAAUGCUGGAGAGGCUCUCUGGGUAAUUUAUUUGGCUAGAGAACCCUUUUUUCCCACUCCACCUUCACCCUAUCUCCAGGGACUGCUUGCUGAAAGCACCCACCUACAUCAGGUAUCUUACAGCCCCACAGUGGGUCUGGUAAUGUCUAA